RNAcentral lists this ribosomal RNA (494 nucleotides) under uncultured bacterium. Its description in RNAcentral is "partial 16S ribosomal RNA". It matches the Rfam family "Bacterial small subunit ribosomal RNA", at positions 28 to 507 of the family's 1533-position model. The record is from RNAcentral.
GACGAACGCUGGCGGCGUGCUUAACACAUGCAAGUCGAACGGAAAGGCCUGCUUUCCCUUGUGGAUUGCGGGUACUCGAGUGGCGAACGGGUGAGUAACACGUGAGUGAUCUGCCCCCAACUUGGGUAUAAGCCUGGGAAACGGGGUCUAAUUCCCGAUAGGACUGCAGGGUGGUGCCUGUGGUGGAAAACGAUUUUCUAGUGGUUGGGGAUGAGCUGGCGGCCUAUCAGCUGGUUGGUGGGGGAAUGGCCUACCAAGGCGGCGACGGGUAGCCGGCCUGAGAGGGUGGACGGCCACAGUGGGACUGAGAUACGACCCAGACUCCGACGGGAGGCAGCAGUGGGGAAUAUUGCACAAGGGGCGGAAGCCUGAGGCAGCGACGCCGCGUGGGGGAUGACGGCCUUCGGGUUGUAAACUCCUUUCGACCGCGAGGAAGCCACCUGGUUGGAAGGGUGGUGACGGUAGUGGUAGAAGAAGCACCGGCUAACUACGUG